CCUACGGGUGGCUGCAGUGAGGAAUAUUGGUCAAUGGGCGCGAGCCUGAACCAGCCAAGUAGCGUGAAGGAUGACUGCCCUACGGGUGGUAAACUUCUUUUAUAAAGGAAUAAAGUGAGGCACGUGUGCCUUUUUGUAUGUACUUGAUGAAUAAGGAUCGGCUAACUCCGUGCCAGCAGCCGCGGUAAUACGGAGGAUCCGAGCGUUAUCCGGAUUUAUUGGGUUUAAAGGGAUCUUAGAUGGGUUGUUAAGUCAGUUGUGAAAGUUUGCGGCGCAACCAUAAAAUUGCAAUUGCUACUGGCAGCCUUGAGUACAGUUGAGGUAUGCGUAAUUCGUGGUGUAGCGGUGAAAUGCUUAGAUAUCACGCAGAACUCCGAUUGCGAAGGCAGCCUACUAAACUGCCACUGACAUUGAUGCUCGAAAGUGUGGGUAUCAAACAGGAUUAGAUACCCCUGUAGUC
RNAcentral lists this ribosomal RNA (460 nucleotides) under uncultured bacterium. Its description in RNAcentral is "partial 16S ribosomal RNA". It matches the Rfam family "Bacterial small subunit ribosomal RNA", at positions 338 to 795 of the family's 1533-position model. The record is from RNAcentral.